UACAGAGGGUGCAAGCGUUGUUCGGAAUUACUGGGCGUAAGGCGCGUGUAGGUGGCGAUGUAAGUCGGGUGUGAAAUCCCUCAGCUUAACUGAGGAAGUGCACUCGAUACUGUGUCGCUUGAGUGUUGGAGGGGAUGGCGGAAUUCCCGGUGUAGAGGUGAAAUUCGUAGAUAUCUGGAGGAAUACCGGUGGCGAAGGCGGCAUCCUGGACCGGCAUUGACGCUGAGGAGCGAAAGCCAGGGGAGCAAACGGG
This 253-nucleotide ribosomal RNA is filed under the name uncultured bacterium. RNAcentral's name for it is "partial 16S ribosomal RNA". It matches the Rfam family "Bacterial small subunit ribosomal RNA", at positions 524 to 776 of the family's 1533-position model. The record is from RNAcentral.